AAACAACCUCGUUAGGUGAGGCUCCUGUACGGAGAUAUGCUGCUGCCCAAAAAUGUCCAAAGACGCCAAUGGGUGAACAGGAAUUAUCGAGCUAAGGUAAUUUUUAAUGUAGCUGGCAAUGGUCCUAUGCCGUACAGUGCUAAAGCUCUACGACGGAGACGUAUA
Molecule: small RNA, 165 nt
Filed under: Geomicrobium sp. JCM 19038
Lineage: Bacteria; Bacillati; Bacillota; Bacilli; Caryophanales
Also listed under: 1 other name
Description: M-box riboswitch aptamer (ykoK leader)
Rfam family: M-box riboswitch aptamer (ykoK leader)
About the family: M-box riboswitch, also know as ykoK leader is described as a metaloregulatory RNA that sense divalent metals and function as a genetic control element of genes related to divalent metal transport in bacteria. It was first reported upstream of the B.subtilis ykoK gene and genes with related functions in other bacteria.
Source: Rfam by way of RNAcentral